Molecule: long non-coding RNA, 3384 nt
Organism: Oreochromis niloticus (Nile tilapia)
Lineage: Eukaryota; Metazoa; Chordata; Actinopteri; Cichliformes; Cichlidae
Exons: 10
Source: RefSeq, a predicted model, not a curated record
GAAUUUAAAAAAACAUUCAAAACGAAAGAGGAAGUGUUUUGGGAGGAUAAACCAAAUGUGAAGUGUUUUUUGUACAUUGUAGUUUUUUGUUGACUUUACUGUCAUCUGGUUCCCAUAAAUGACACGAAGCAGCCUCUUUUUUCAGUCAUGGGGUGCAGACAGCAGAGAGUGCUUCAGUUUUUGACCUUCGUUUCUUGCCUCUUGGCCUUCACUUCACCUGCUGCAGGUCAGAUCAGACUAGCUGGGUCUGAGUCCACUCAGUGCUCUGGAAGAGUUGAAAUCUAUCACAGUGGCUCCUGGGGAACAGUCUGUGACGAUGGCUGGGGCAUUAAUGAUGCCAAUGUGGUCUGUAGACAGCUGGGUUGUGGGACAGCAGUGGAGGCCACUUCAUCUGCUCGCUUCGGUCAAGGAACUGGAAAAAUCUGGCUUGAUGAUGUGGCCUGUUCAGGAAGUGAAAGUUCUCUAACUGAGUGUGGACACAAUGGAUUUGGGAAACACAACUGUGGACAUGGCGAGGAUGCUGGUGUUGUUUGUUCGGGAUCUCUGAUCAGGUUCGCUGGAUCUACUUCAUGUUCAGGAAGAGUAGAAUUCUACUACAACAGUUCCUGGGGAACAGUCUGUGACGAUGGCUGGGACUUAAAUGAUGCUAAGGUGGUCUGUAGACAGCUGGGUUGUGGGAGAGCAUUGGAGGCCACUUCAUCUGCUCGCUUCGGUCAAGGAACUGGAAAAAUCUGGCUUGAUGAUGUGGCCUGUUCAGGAAGUGAAAGUUCUCUAACUGAGUGUGGACACAAUGGAUUUGGGAAACACAACUGCGGACAUGGCGAGGAUGCUGGUGUUGUUUGUUCGGGAUCUCAGAUCAGGUUCGCUGGAUCUACUUCAUGUUCAGGAAGAGUAGAAUUCUACUACAACAGUUCCUGGGGAACAGUCUGUGACGAUGGCUGGGACUUAAAUGAUGCUAAGGUGGUCUGUAGACAGCUGGGUUGUGGGAGAGCAUUGGAGGCCACUUCAUCUGCUCGCUUUGGUCAAGGAACUGGAAAAAUCUGGCUUGAUAAUGUGGCCUGUUCAGGAAAUGAAAGUUCUCUAACUGAGUGUGGACACAAUGGAUUUGGGAAACACAACUGUGGACAUGGCGAGGAUGCUGGUGUCGUCUGUUCAGUGAGCCUUCCAGAGCCCAGGAUCUCUCUGAAUAGAGAUAAGGUUGCCUGGGGUGAAGAUGUCACCAUUACUUGUUCGAUCUUAUCCGAGUUGCUUGGUGGAACUUUCAUCCUCAAGAAGACCUCAGGCACUUUCAGCCAGACUGCGUCAUCAAGUUCCACAUCUGCUACCUUCAGUAUCCACAAAGUGGACUUAGAUCAUAACGGCUCGUACCAGUGUCAGUAUCAGAAAAACAUUUCAGAGCAAAACUUUUCAUCCUCCCUCAGUGAUGCUGUCAGACUCUCUGUUAACGUGAGUUUCCCGAAACCCCAUAUCGCCAUAAAUCCUGUUGGUGAGGUCACCUGGGGUCAGAACAUUACAAUCACUUGUUCAAUCUCCACUCAGGUUUUGGGUGGAUCGUUCAUUCUGAAGAAAACAUCAGAUUCAUUCAUAAGGACCCAAACUUCUAGUACAAACUCUGCAACAUUCAAUAUCCUCAAAGUGAACUUUGAUAACGAGGGAUUGUACCAGUGUCAGUAUCAGAAAAUGGGCUCAGGUCUUGAAUUUAACUCCCCACCAAGUGACUCUGGUAGGCUCUCUGUGACAGUGAGACUGCAGAGGCCCAGCAUUUCUCUGACGUCUCCUAAUGCAGGACUUUUCUGGGGUCCUGAAGGUGCACAGAUCACCAGGGGUUACAGCUUUGUCCUCACCUGUUCCAUUAACUCCACAUUUUCCAGUGGACAUUUUAUUCUCAGCUUCUCUGGCUCCAACCUCACAGAGCCAGCAGUCAACAACUCAGCCUCCUUUAGUUUCCCUGUAGCUGAGUAUGAACAUCAGGGCAACUACAGCUGUGUGUAUGAGGUCACAGUGUCCACACGGACAUUCACAUCUGCUGUAAUUGCACCGAUUAGUGUCAUCAUUAAAUUCAAUUUGAUGCCGCUGCUGUCCUCAGUAUCUGUUGGACUCCUGCUGCUGCUCCUGCUGCUGCUAUUAUUAGUAGGGCUGACGCGCAGGAGAAGACAACGACGAGCCAAGAAGCCUGUAGCUCUCAUCCACAGUCAAAUGGCUGUCCGAGUCGGGAAUGCUUACAAGUAUGGAGGUGAAGAUGAUGAUGAGGAUGAUGAGGAGGACUCUGUGAAUGUUGAUCUAGUGGACACUAAUGAAAAAAUCAAAGGAGGAGCUCCUGGACUGGAUGAAGACGAUGAAGAUUAUGAGGACCUAAUGAGUGAUGAUGAUCACGAUUAUGAGGAAGCAGGCCCUAAUGACAAAAAGUCCAAGGAGGCCUGUGUGAGUGUAGACUGUCACAGACAAGAUGAGGAAGAAACUAGUGAUGAAGAGGAAACUAGUGAUGAAGACGAAACUAGUGAUGAAGAAAACAACUAUGAGAAUGUAUCCCCGCCUUCAACAAGUGUGGAUAAUAAGGAAGAAGAGGAAACUAGUGAUGAAGAAAACAACUAUGAGAAUGUAUCCCCACCUUCAGCAAGUGUGGGCAAGAAGGAAGAAGAGGAAACUAGUGAUGAAGAAAACAAUUAUGAGAAUGUAUCCCCGCCUUCAACAAGUGUGGAUAAUAAGGAAGAAGAGGAAACUAGUGAUGAAGAAAACAACUAUGAGAAUGUAUCCCCGCCUUCAGCAAGUGUGGACAAUAAGGAAGAAGAGGAAACUAGUGAUGAAGAAAACAACUAUGAGAAUGUAUCCCCGCCUUCAGCAAGUGUGGACAAUAAGGAAGAAGAGGAAACUAGUGAUGAAGAAAACAACUAUGAGAAUGUAUCCCCGCCUUCAGCAAGUGUGGGCAAUAAGGAAGAAGAGGAAACUAGUGAUGAAGAAAACAACUAUGAGAAUGUAUCCCCGCCUUCAGCAAGUGUGGACAAUAAGGAAGAAGAGGAAACUAGUGAUGAAGAAAACAACUAUGAGAAUGUAUCUUUACCACAACCAGUUCAUUAUCAUUCGUAAUGAGCUCUCGUCCUUUUGUAUGAAAUGGUAAAUGGACUUGUUCUUCUAAAGCUCUUUUAUGCUCUGAGCACUCAAAGCGCUUUAGGCAACUUGCCUCAUUCACCAUUUAUACAAGCACUUUUGAUGCUUAAGUGUUUUCUAUCUAACACUGACACACAUUCAUACUCCAGUGGAUGCAUCAGAAAGCAACUUGAGGUCAGUAUAUGUAUUUAACAUGCAGACUGUGGGAGCCAAGGAUCGAACCAACCUUCCGAUUAGUAGAUGACCUGCUCUAGCUUCACCCACUCCUUUUCCAUGCAC